AAGGUUGACCUCGGAUCAGGUAGGACUACCCGCUGAACUUAAGCAUAUCAA
RNAcentral lists this ribosomal RNA (51 nucleotides) under Grosmannia bistata. Its description in RNAcentral is "partial 26S ribosomal RNA". The record is from RNAcentral. Lineage: Eukaryota; Fungi; Ascomycota; Sordariomycetes; Ophiostomatales; Ophiostomataceae.